ACGCUGGCGGUAUGCUUAACACAUGCAAGUCGAACGGAAACGAAACUAGCUUGCUAGUAGGCGUCGAGUGGCGGACGGGUGAGUAACGCGUAGGAAUCUGCCUGAUAGUGGGGGAUAGCCCGAAGAAAUUCGGAUUAAUACCGCAUAAUCUAUUCGUAGUAAAGUGGGGGACUUUCGAGCCUCACGCUAUCAGAUGAGCCUGCGUAAGAUUAGCUUGUUGGUAGGGUAAAAGCCUACCAAGGCAACGAUCUUUAGCUGGUCUGAGAGGAUGAUCAGCCACAUCGGGACUGAGACACGGCCCGAACUCCUACGGGAGGCAGCAGUGGGGAAUAUUGGACAAUGGGGGCAACCCUGAUCCAGCAAUACCGCGUGUGUGAAGAAGGCCUGAGGGUUGUAAAGCACUUUCAAUUGUGAAGAAAAGUUAACGGUUAAUAACCGUUGACCUUGACGUUAACUUUAUAAGAAGCACCGGCUAACUCCGUGCCAGCAGCCGCGGUAAUACGGAGGGUGCAAGCGUUAAUCGGAAUUACUGGGCGUAAAGCGUGCGUAGGCGGUUUAUUAAGUCAGAUGUGAAAGCCCCGGGCUUAACCUGGGAACUGCAUUUGAAACUGGUCAACUAGAGUAUGGUAGAGGAAAGUGGAAUUUCUGGUGUAGCGGUGAAAUGCGUAGAUAUCAGAAGGAACAUCAAUGGGCGAAGGCAGCUUUCUGGACCAAUACUGACGCUGAGGUACGAAAGCGUGGGUAGCAAACAGGAUUAGAUACCCUGGUAGUCCACGCCGUAAACGAUGAUAACUAGCCGUUGGGGGGAUUUACCCCUUAGUGGCGAAGCUAACGCGUUAAGUUAUCCGCCUGGGGAGUACGGCCGCAGGCUAAACUAAAUGAUGCG
Molecule: ribosomal RNA, 886 nt
Filed under: Thiotrichales bacterium SCGC AAA288-F13
Lineage: Bacteria; Pseudomonadati; Pseudomonadota; Gammaproteobacteria; Thiotrichales
Description: SSU rRNA
Rfam family: Bacterial small subunit ribosomal RNA
Source: RNAcentral